CCUACGGGUGGCAGCAGUGAGGAAUAUUGGUCAAUGGACGAGAGUCUGAACCAGCGAAGUAGCGUGAAGGAUGACUGCCCUAUGGGUUGUAAACUUCUUUUAUAUGGGAAUAAAAUGUUCCACGUGUGGGAUUUUGUAUGUACCAUAUGAAUAAGGAUCGGCUAACUCCGUGCCAGCAGCCGCGGUAAUACGGAGGAUCCGAGCGUUAUCCGGAUUUAUUGGGUUUAAAGGGAGCGUAGGUGGAUUGUUAAGUCAGUUGUGAAAGUUUGCGGCUCAACCGUAAAAUUGCAGUUGAAACUGGCAGUCUUGAGUACAGUAGAGGUGGGCGGAAUUCGUGGUGUAGCGGUGAAAUGCUUAGAUAGCACGAAGAACUCCGAUUGCGAAGGCAGUUCACUGGACUGCAACUGACACUGAGGCUCGAAAGUGUGGGUAUCAAACAGGAUUAGAUACCCGAGUAGUC
This 460-nucleotide ribosomal RNA is filed under the name uncultured bacterium. Its description in RNAcentral is "partial 16S ribosomal RNA". It matches the Rfam family "Bacterial small subunit ribosomal RNA", at positions 338 to 795 of the family's 1533-position model. The record is from RNAcentral.